RNAcentral lists this long non-coding RNA (1572 nucleotides) under Sorghum bicolor (sorghum). Its description in RNAcentral is "long non-coding RNA (SBIC_LNC006361)". The record is from RNAcentral. Lineage: Eukaryota; Viridiplantae; Streptophyta; Magnoliopsida; Poales; Poaceae.
CGUCAUCUUCAUCAUGCACCAUUGAAUCAAACCGACUUCACAACCGCCAUCUGAUCAACGGUAGAGGCAAACUAACAUGUGCAACAUGUGGGCAAGGUCGGUGGGAGGCCAACCGACCCUGGAACCGCCAUGAAGUGGGGUCGGCCGACCCCCUAUCUGGCUGGUUGGGCCCACCUGCAGUGUCAUGGAGGUUCUCUAAUGUCGGCGGAGUUGAGCUGACCUGUGGGACCCACCAAAGUGGGGUCGCCCGACCCCAAUUCUAUGGGGUUAGGGUGUCAGCCCUGUCCUACAUGUCUUCCUCUUCAUGACUAUAAUGUUGUCUUGGUUACUGGUGUCACUGAUCUUUAGUUAUUCACCCCUUCUUAGUGUUUGGACCCUUGAAAAGUACCUGUUCUUACUCCUGCAACCAAAUAGUAGCAUGUACAUGUGGAACUAGGUUAUAUGUACCUAUAUUACUACUUUGUUUGGUUGUUUUCUCCCAAAAUGAGUCUUAUGUUGACGGUUAUGAUAGUAGAAAACAUGGUAUAAAUACCGUCAACAAGACCCCCCACACUUGAGUCUUGGCUCGUCCUCGAGUAAAGGUUAAAAAUGAGUGAUCAAUGGUUUCUAACUUAAGAUAGUAGUGAGCAUAAAAUGCUAGUUCGAACAUAGUUCAUCCAAAUGGGUUUUUGUGUAAGUGUCUAGCAUAUAUCCUUCAGAGGUUGAGAAAAGGAACAACUCUCAGAACAAGAUCAAAUUCCAAUUUCAUAUUCUUGGUACUUAGAGUUUUUAUGACACUUUUUAAAAUAAGUCACAUAGUUCAAUCCUACUCCUCAUUUAGCGCUCUAGAUCACUCAAAGUUUUUUUAGUAGUCCUCACCAAGGCAUGAAUGCCAACUUGUUUCAUCCUAUAAUUAUAGGCUUAUAUGGGGCUUGGUAGGGAUAAACAAGGUAGCAUACUCUACUUUGCAAAUAUUGUUAAGUCAAAAACAAGGAUCCAAAGAGAGGAGUGUCAUAGUCAUAGAUCAAGAUGUGCAAGUGUGUUAUAUGGUGGACUAGGUUGCUCCUUUAUUUACUACACUCUCUCUACUUGUAUAUUGAGACAUGGCUAGCUUUUCUUUUUCUUCGAGCUUUAUGUGCUCAAUUUUUUUUUUCAUGGACUUGCACAUGUCCAUCUUUUCUUUUUCUUUUAUUUUGCCAAGCCCUUUUAUGUCUCAUUUUCUAAACAAUAUUUAGAGAGGUGUUCUAACACUUAGAGUAUGGAGCAACCUAUUUAGUGGAUGCACAAUACAUGUGGUUGCGUACUUCCAGUGUAGAAGCAGCAUAUAUAUAUGUGGUGUGUACGUGAUCUUGAUCUUGUGACUAUGAUACAACUCUCACUAGGGUCAACAAGGUUUUGACAAAACUCAUUACAAAAGCAGGUUGCAUUUCAUAAAAUGGUUACUUGAAUAUCUAAGUGUAUGGCUUUUAGUGGGAAUUUCUUGCUAAUGAGGAGUAAAUGAUACUAUGGUUUUGUGAUAUUUUUGAAACAAAUCUCUAAGUACCUUGAAUAGAAAUGUUAUGAAUUCUUAGCCAAGAGUUAUAUCACUUUCAU